Molecule: microRNA precursor, 88 nt
Filed under: Paramuricea clavata
Lineage: Eukaryota; Metazoa; Cnidaria; Anthozoa; Malacalcyonacea; Plexauridae
Source: RNAcentral
UCAACCAGCUUUCUAAAAACAUUCUCUCAUCCUCAAAACCAUCAAAUUCCAUUUUGAGAAUGAGGAAAUGUUUUUAGAAAGCUGGUUC